Molecule: non-coding RNA, 73 nt
Organism: Potamilus streckersoni
Lineage: Eukaryota; Metazoa; Mollusca; Bivalvia; Unionida; Unionidae
Source: the annotation of a GenBank genome assembly
GCUCCGGUGGCCUAGUGGUGAGAACGUCAGCCUCGGAUGUUGGGGGUCGUGGGUUCGAUCUUCGGUCGAGUCA